Hemicordylus capensis (graceful crag lizard) is the source of this 1783-nucleotide long non-coding RNA. RefSeq lists it as uncharacterized. The transcript is spliced from 2 exons. NCBI's taxonomy places the organism in Eukaryota, Metazoa, Chordata, Lepidosauria, Squamata, Cordylidae. The record is from RefSeq and is a predicted model, not a curated record.
CGGCUUGCACGAAAGCAGAGGAACCUGGAGAACGCUGGGCUCGCUUCUCGUGCGCCAGUCCGAGGACUCGUGGAGGAGGAAGGCUUACAGGCCGCAGCUAUUCUCUCCGCUGGCCUCCAGAGGAGUCCCACCAGGGAAGAAGAUAAAAUGUGGGCUAGGGAUGUGCCCGAACCAUGGUCCGAAGCGCGGUUCGAGCACUCCCAAGGAAAUUAGGAAGGGAACUUUAAGACAAAGGAGAGCAAGUGUUUACCUGUCCACAGACACAAUGCGCAUGCUGAUGGCUUUUUGGAAGGCGCGCCACCCCGGCAGGAAGCUGGAAGAGGUGGCAGAGAGCAGGUAAGCACCUGCUUUCCUUUGUCUUAUAGUUCCCUUCCUAAUUUCCUCGACAGUGCUUGAACUGCGGUUAGGGCACAUCCCUAAUGUGGGCAUUUAAAAUUAAUACUGGCUAUAUGCCAAUAGCAAACAAGAAAGCAUUUCAUCAAAUGUGACCUCCACGUUCUUAUCCAAUAAGCAUAUUUAAAUAAAGCUAACUUUUGAGUAUCUUAAUGAAGCAUUUAAUUAGUAUCUGAAUUUGCUCUAUAGACCAGUUUGGUCUGUAGAUAACUAUAGACCAAUUAUCCCUCCAGUAUGCUCAGUGAAGAGUUCUAUGUAACUAAAAACAUUGCAUACUGUCACAUCAGCAACACUUCUAAAUGUCCCCUUGGCUUGUUCUGAACCUCCUAGUUUCUAAAACAAAAAUAAUGACAAGCUAAUAUGGCUCAAAGCUGAUUAAUUGCUUAGCUUAAGGUUUAAUUAAUUCACAUUUCCCCCCUUAAUUUCCAUCAAUCCACAAUCUCCAAUUAAGCAUAAAAAUCUGAAGUGAACUGCAAUCAUGCAAGGAAAUGAACAAGUUAAGCACCUCGAUUAAUUACUCUCACCAGUAUCAGAGGCAGGGAGGCUGGACUGGAACUAAUUAUUUUUGGGACAAGAGAGAGACUAUAAAGAUAUUCCAAGACAGGACAAGACAGCUAUGGUUCCAGAAUGGUUCCUUUUCUGUUUAUGGGGGAUAGGUGGUCUCAUCUUAUAGCACAAUUGUGGGAUGGUGCUAUGUGCUCUUUGUACCCUCAGAUGCACAUAUUUUCUUUAUGCCUAACGUUUUAGAUUAUGCUAUGCUAGCAGAUUCUCUCUAGAGGCUUUUCUUGUGUGUCACCCCUGCUAGAUUGGCCUGUGAGAGAAAAGGGAGGACAGAAGAAUAAAUCAGCUUUGCCUAACGGAGUUUCCAUCCAUGCACACAGCUGUGUUGCAUGCCAAGAUGGCAUGAAACAAUUAGCCCCUCUUAAAACCUGUAUAGUUAGUUGUCGACUUUUCUGCAUAGAUUACAUAAUUCAAAUGUUUAAAUUAAACAUGCCUCAAGUCAGGACUAAUGGAUGGUAGCCGAAUAGAGCACACCAGCCUAAAGUGUGGGUGGACUAACUGAUGAACCUGCACUACAGAAAGUAAACAUUAGGUGGCACUGAAUGCGCAGAUUUCCCACCCCCUAACUCUGGAUGUGUUCUGGGAUGUCCAUUUUAUUAAGAAUAUGUACAUAUCUUUUCAACAAAGACAAGCAGCAGUUCACACAGGAAAGUUGUAAGGAAAAAAUAGUGCUAAUUAUAUUAUAAGCUUUUUGACAUGUGGCUAUUGUUUUAAUUUUAUUGUUGGCAUUGGGUUUUGUUACACUUCAAGUUUUCUUUGCCCCCCCCCGUGCACCCUGUUUAAAACAUAAUUUUAAUAAUGUAGUUAUUAAAAUGUAAUUGUAAUACUG